AACUUUUGGCAACGGAUCUCUUGGCUCUCGCAUCGAUGAAGAACGCAGCGAAAUGCGAUACGUAAGGUGAAUUGCAGAAUUCAGUGAAUCAUCGAAUCUUUGAACGCACCUUGCGCCCCUUGGAAUUCCGAGGGGCACACCCGUUUGAGUGUCGUGAACAUCCUUCAACCUUUCUUGGUUUCUUAACCGGGGAAGGCUUUGACUUUGGGGGUCUUUCAUUGCUGGCCUCUUUGAAGCCAGCUCCUCCUAAAUGGAUUAGUGUGGUCUGCUUUGCCGAUCCUUGACGUGAUAAGAUGUUUCUACGUCUUGGGUUUGGCACUGUCGCUUUAGACCCCGCUUCUAACCGUCUUGCAUUCAAGACAGAGUUUUAAACCUUGACCUCAAAUCGGGUGAGACUACCCGCUGAACUUAAGCAUAUCAAUAAGCGGAGGCU
This 433-nucleotide unclassified non-coding RNA is filed under the name uncultured Russula. RNAcentral describes it as "sequence contains ITS2". The stretch from base 1 to 154 matches the Rfam family "5.8S ribosomal RNA". Lineage: Eukaryota; Fungi; Basidiomycota; Agaricomycetes; Russulales; Russulaceae. The record is from RNAcentral.